RNAcentral lists this ribosomal RNA (434 nucleotides) under uncultured bacterium. RNAcentral describes it as "bacterial SSU rRNA". It matches the Rfam family "Bacterial small subunit ribosomal RNA", at positions 977 to 1415 of the family's 1533-position model. The record is from RNAcentral.
ACCCUUGACAUGCCUGGAAUCCUGCAGAGAUGUGGGAGUGCUCGAAAGAGAGCCAGGACACAGGUGCUGCAUGGCCGUCGUCAGCUCGUGUCGUGAGAUGUUGGGUUAAGUCCCGCAACGAGCGCAACCCUUAUCAUUAGUUGCUACGCAAGGGCACUCUAAUGAGACUGCCGGUGACAAACCGGAGGAAGGUGGGGAUGACGUCAGGUCCUCAUGGCCCUUAUGGGUAGGGCUACACACGUCAUACAAUGGCCGGUACAGAGGGCUGCCAACCCGCGAGGGGGAGCUAAUCUCAGAAAACCGGUCGUAGUCCGGAUCGCAGUCUGCAACUCGGCUGCGUGAAGUCGGAAUCGCUAGUAAUCGCGGAUCAGCUUGCCGCGGUGAAUACGUUCCCGGGUCUUGUACACACCGCCCGUCACACCAUGGGAGCGGGU